Molecule: long non-coding RNA, 1845 nt
Filed under: Nicotiana tabacum (common tobacco)
Lineage: Eukaryota; Viridiplantae; Streptophyta; Magnoliopsida; Solanales; Solanaceae
Description: long non-coding RNA (NTAB_LNC013460)
Source: RNAcentral
AGAAAAUACUUUUACGAUAAUGCCCAUCCCUUAAGCAACAGGAGGUAAGAUAAAACACAAAAAUGCAAUAAGAUUUAAACAAACAGAAAACGAACCUAAAAACAAUCGGUUUACUACAUCAAAGCUGAUUUUUCAAGCUUUUCAUACACUCCACUAAAUGAAGCAAGUAUUCAACACAUGAAAGAGAAACUAUUCAGCACAUUCAAUACUAAGCAUCCCAACUAGUUCAUGGAACAACACAGCAGAUUUAAUGAAUUUAAGUAGAAGCUAGAAAGGACGAAGCUAAAGAAAAAGAGUCAAAUGACUUGAAAGAACAUAAAAGAAACUGAAAUUUAACAUGAAUAUUAAACUUCACAGCAACAGUACAUCCUUCAAAAACACGCUUGAAUUUCAUCAUUCAAAGCUCAAGAGGUACCUGGUUACAAGGAACAAAAACAAGGCAGUGUAUCUCUAAGAACAGCAGAAGACAACAGGAAACCAGUGAAAUAGCAGCAAUGAAACAGCAAUAUCACAACUUUAACCUCAAACCAUAUUUCAGCUUAAGAAACCCAGAAAUCCCAAAGGAAAAUUUUGUUCUAACUUUUGGUCGAAAUCAGAAAAAUAGAUCAGCUACUAAUGGAACAGUAGAGUUGAGCUUUAGAGGUAUUUUUUAGGUUCUGAAAAAUCUGUCUAGAAUGAGGGAGACACUUUUUAUUUUAUAGGGUAUGCCUAAAAUAGCGUCAAAAAGCAUAUUCUAACCUAAAUUCCCUAAGGGUCAGAUGGUACAACAUAUUUGGACAGCUGGCUGUCCUUUUUUCAGCCCAAUUCCAGUAUUUUCAUGCUAAGAAUGGGGACAACUGUACAAAAUGCUAGAACCUUCUGAUUUUUACCUUAUGUAAAAACAGUUUUACCCUUUCUUUUAUUAAAUAUUUUAGUUUCAACCAAUUCUGACUUAAAUUCAUAUUGUUUGAUUUACUCAUUAACCCCUUCUAGAAGCUUCUGAUAUCAAAACUCUACCUCAUUUCCCAAUUGACCCCUUUUAGGUUCUUGUUAAUACCUCUUUAAACUCCUAAUUCCUAAUUGGUAUUCAAAAUUAUAAACUUAAAUAAUUUAAAGCAAAAAAUCAGAAAUAAAACCAAGUAAAAAAAUGAAUCAAGAAGCUAACCAUGAACUAAUCUACUAGGACUGACUUAAUUAACCUAGACACGUGCAAUUAACUAAAUACCUAUUUUACUGAAAUUUAAACAAGUCAAUCAAGCAAACCAAACAAGACUGGAACCUAAAUGGUAAAAUAAUAAUAAUAAUAAUAAUAAUAAUAAUAAUAAUAAUAAUAAUAAUAAUAAUAAUAAUAAUAAUAAUAAUAAUAAUAAUAAUAAUAAUAAUAAUAAUAAUAAUGAUGAUGAUAAAAAGAAAAAGAAAACAGAAACAAAGAGAUAGGAGGAGGAAAAUACAUUGAUUUUGUCCAUGAAUGUGAUAACGGAUGAGGCAAACCAAUGAACGAUGAAAAUGACAAAGUUUGGCAAGCCAGAAGUGAGUUAGUAAAAUUCCGAUGACCUCGAAAAUGAGCCGAUACUAACGUCAAUCGAUUUCUCUUAACAAGAGCAAUUGAUUAAUGUAAGUUUCGGGCCAAGACGAACUAGUUUUACCCAAAAAAAUCAACAGAAAGAGGGAUUAGGGUUUUGGAAUCUCAUAUUUGAAAUUAAAGCAAAUGGGUGGGGAUUUUGGGGAAAUUGAUAGUGGGAUAGUGAUGAGGGGAGGCUGGGGAUUAUGAGGUUAAAUAUUGGGGUGGUUCGAAGUAUCGCCGCCGUUGUGGGGUGGCUAGCGGCGGCGAUUAAAGAAAUGAAGAAGGGGUAUGUGUUUGUUUUA